CCCCAUCCACCCCUUGUUUGGAGUGCAGAGUUUGGCUUUGGUUCUUUGCCUUGCCUAGAGUAUACUUCUAAUUCCUGCUGUCCUGCACAAGCUGAAUCUCCAGCUACCCACCGCCACCCAGGCCUACAGUGGGUCAAGCAGGUGAGAAAGUCAAGAGAAGAGGCCUUCUUGAGUUCAAUUCAACAUACUGAAAGGACAUCAAGUUAUUCCCGUUUGUCUUUUAAGCUCAAGCAUCACCUGUCGUGCAACCGCCACUACCUUAGUUCAAUAAAUUUUCAUCAUUUGCCUGGAUUACUGAAGAAGCCUAAAUGAUCUAUCUCGUUUGACCGCCACCAAUUCCUCCUCCAAAAUGCUGCCAGAGGCCAAAGCCCCAAACUGGACUUCGAAAGCACAAAUGACUCCUCCUCCAAUGUUUGGAUAAAAUUCAAAUUGCUGAGUUCAACACACACAAGGCCCGCGAUGAUCCAGCUUCCACAUCAUCUCUUUCCUCCACACUUACCUCCCUUGACUUGCUCUUCCUGAAACCAUUCAUGCUGACUGGUAUUCCCUGCCUUUAUGGAAGCUCUUCCAUUGGCCUUGGAAACCCACCCUCCUACCUCUGCCUGGUACUUAACUGUGAAUGUACAUCAGACUUACCUCAGGAACUUAAAAAAAAAAGUAGAAAAGAUCCUAUGGAUAAAAUUGUUUCCCUUUUAAAGAACUCCACUAAGAUUCCAAGAGAAAGCUGGAUUUGAGAACAACCAGUGUGCAAGCCCUUCCUGA
Symphalangus syndactylus (siamang) is the source of this 762-nucleotide long non-coding RNA. RefSeq lists it as uncharacterized. Lineage: Eukaryota; Metazoa; Chordata; Mammalia; Primates; Hylobatidae. The record is from RefSeq and is a predicted model, not a curated record.